This is a microRNA precursor of Oryza sativa Indica Group (long-grained rice), 204 nucleotides long. It matches the Rfam family "MIR812 microRNA precursor family". The record is from Rfam. NCBI's taxonomy places the organism in Eukaryota, Viridiplantae, Streptophyta, Magnoliopsida, Poales, Poaceae.
AAUAUAUGGGGUUUUGAGUUUUUCUUGCAAUAUUUGACCACUCGUCUUAUUUAAAUUUUUUUAAAAUUAUUAUUUAUUUUAUUUGUGAUUUACUUUAUUAUCUACCGUACUUUAAGCACAACUUUUCAUUUUUUGUAUUUGCAAAAAGAAUUUGAAUAAGACGAGUGGUCAAAUGUUACAAGUCAAAACUCAAAAUCCCUUAUA